Molecule: ribosomal RNA, 357 nt
Filed under: uncultured bacterium
Lineage: Bacteria
Description: bacterial SSU rRNA
Rfam family: Bacterial small subunit ribosomal RNA
Source: RNAcentral
CGAUGCCUAAUACAUGCAAGUCGAGCGAAUGGAUUAAGAGCUUGCUCUUAUGAAAUUAGCGGCGGACGGGUGAGUAACACGUGGGUAACCUGCCCAUAAGACUGGGAUAACUCCGGGAAACCGGAGGCUAAUACCGGAUAACAUAUUUAGAACCGCAUAGGUUCGAAAUUGAAAGGCGUGCUUCGGCUAGUCACUUAUAGGAUAGGACCCGCGUCUGCAUAUAAGCUAGUUGGUGAGGUAACUGNGCUCACCAAGGCAACGAUAGCGUAAGCCAACCUGAAGAGGGUAGAUACGGCACACACUGGGACUNGAGACACAGGCCCAAGACUACCUAACGGGAGGCAGCAGUAAGGGAAU